GGUAAUGCCGGAUGCUCCAUCACACCGCAUGGUGUGUUGGGAAAGCCUUUGCGGCAUGGGAUGGGGUCGCGUCCUAUCAGCUUGAUGGCGGGGUAACGGCCCACCAUGGCUUCGACGGGUAGCCGGCCUGAGAGGGCGACCGGCCACAUUGGGACUGAGAUACGGCCCAGACUCCUACGGGAGGCAGCAGUGGGGAAUAUUGCACAAUGGGCGCAAGCCUGAUGCAGCGACGCCGCGUGAGGGAUGGAGGCCUUCGGGUUGUAAACCUCUUUUGUUAGGGAGCAAGGCACUUUGUGUUGAGUGUACCUUUCGAAUAAGCACCGGCUAACUACGUGCCAGCAGCCGCGGUAAUACGUAGGGUGCAAGCGUUAUCCGGAAUUAUUGGGCGUAAAGGGCUCGUAGGCGGUUCGUCGCGUCCGGUGUGAAAGUCCAUCGCUUAACGGUGGAUCCGCGCCGGGUACGGGCGGGCUUGAGUGCGGUAGGGGAGACUGGAAUUCCCGGUGUAACGGUGGAAUGUGUAGAUAU
Molecule: ribosomal RNA, 525 nt
Filed under: Bifidobacterium breve
Lineage: Bacteria; Bacillati; Actinomycetota; Actinomycetes; Bifidobacteriales; Bifidobacteriaceae
Description: bacterial SSU rRNA
Rfam family: Bacterial small subunit ribosomal RNA
Source: RNAcentral